ACAUUUUAAACAGUUUUUUUAAAUUUUGAUUAGAAUUUUGAAACAAGUGAACGAAAUAGAAAGGAGUCGAAAUGAAGAUUAACCACUUACCCAAGCAGAAGCGUCGUUCAAGUGUGGUGAUUUUUUAUUUGGUUUCUGAAGCUAGGUACAACAAUUUGGAAGCUGGAUUUCCCAGUCAAGAGUGAUCUUAGGACAUCUAAGAACUAAAUGAAAUAAUUUAAAAGAGUAAGAAAAGACUUACCUCAUCAAGAAGAAGAAAUUUCCUCCUCGAACACGCACACAGAACACACGUUCUGUUCUGGUGCGCUGCAACCUUUCUGGUUGCAGUUUUGGAUUUCUACUUCACUCCUCACACACUCUUUUGUCGAUGUUUUGGUUCAAGAUUAAAGGAAAACAAAAUUGUGAAGAGAAGUGGAGCCUUUUAUCUAAAUCAACUCAGCAUCUCAGCCAUCCAAACACAUGCACAACUUCUUAGCUGUUGAUGUGUUGAAUGGCUAACACAGCAGAGGAAGACGGUCGCUUCUCUUGACACCAGGCCGAUCAGGAUAGUUGCUCACUUGGUGGCUGAGUUCUGGCCACAAUUGGGAAGAUAAGUGAUGUCAAAUCAGGGGCACCGAUCUACCCCAGAAUGCUGAUCGGUUAAAGGAGUUCCUCUCCCUCUCGAUGGUUAGUUUUCUUUUUAAUUUUAAUUUCCUUACCUCUGUUUUAUUUCAU
RNAcentral lists this long non-coding RNA (714 nucleotides) under Carica papaya (papaya). RNAcentral describes it as "long non-coding RNA (CPAP_LNC013379)". The record is from RNAcentral. Lineage: Eukaryota; Viridiplantae; Streptophyta; Magnoliopsida; Brassicales; Caricaceae.